UAGCAUAUCAAUAAGCGGAGGAAAAGAAACCAACAGGGAUUGCCUUAGUAACUGCGAGUGAAGCGGCAAAAGCUCAAAUUUGAAAUCUGGCGUCUUCGACGUCCGAGUUGUAAUUUGGAGGGAUAUCUUCGGGGAUGGCGCCGUCCUAAGUUCCUUGGAACAGGACGUCAUAGAGGGUGAGAAUCCCGUGCCUGGAUGGCUGUCCAUCUCCAUGUGAAGUGUCUCCGACGAGUCGAGUUGUUUGGGAAUGCAGCUCAAAAUGGGUGGUAAAUUUCAUCUAAAGCUAAAUAUUGGCGAGAGACCGAUAGCGCACAAGUAGAGUGAUCGAAAGAUGAAAAGCACUUUGAAAAGAGAGUUAAAAAGUACGUGAAAUUGUUGAAAGGGAAGCGCUUGCGACCAGACUCGAUCUUUGGUGAUCAGCCGGGCUUCUGUCCGGUGCACUUGCCACUGAUCGGGCCAGCAUCGGUUCUGAGGGCGGGAUAAAAGGUUGAGGAAUGUAGCUUCUCUCGGGGAGUGUUAUAGCCUCGAUCAUAAUGCCGCCAUUUGGGACCGAGGACCGCGCUUCGGCUAGGAUGCUGGCGUAAUGGUCUUAAGCGACCCGUCUUGAAACACGGACCAAGGAGUCUAACAUCUAUGCGAGUGUUCGGGUGGAAAACCCUUGCGCGUAAUGAAAGUGAACGGAGGUGUGAACCCGCAAGGGUGCAACAUCGACCGGUCCUGAUGUCUUCGGAAGGAUCUGAGUAAGAGCAUAGCUGUUGGGACCCGAAAGAUGGUGAACUAUGCCUGAAUAGGGUGAAGCCAGAGGAAACUCUGGUGGAGGCUCGCAGCGGUUCUGACGUGCAAAUCGAUCGUCAAAUUUGGGUAUAGGGGGCGAAAGACUAAUCGAACCAUCUAGUAGCUGGGUUCUGCGA
Molecule: ribosomal RNA, 911 nt
Filed under: Cheilymenia pulcherrima
Lineage: Eukaryota; Fungi; Ascomycota; Pezizomycetes; Pezizales; Pyronemataceae
Description: LSU rRNA
Rfam family: Eukaryotic large subunit ribosomal RNA
Source: RNAcentral